GACGAACGCUGGCGGCGUGCUUAACACAUGCAAGUCGAACGGAAAGGCCCUGCUUUUGUGGGGUGCUCGAGUGGCGAACGGGUGAGUAACACGUGAGUAACCUGCCCUUGACUUUGGGAUAACUUCAGGAAACUGGGGCUAAUACCGGAUAGGAGCUCCUGCUGCAUGGUGGGGGUUGGAAAGUUUCGGCGGUUGGGGAUGGACUCGCGGCUUAUCAGCUUGUUGGUGGGGUAGUGGCUUACCAAGGCUUUGACGGGUAGCCGGCCUGAGAGGGUGACCGGCCACCAUGGGACUGAGGUACGGCCCAGAAUCCAACGGGAGGCAACAGGGGGGAAUAUUGCACAAUGGGCGGGAGCCUGAUGCAGCAACGCCGCGUGCGGGAUGACGGCCUUCGGGUUGUAAACCGCUUUCGCCUGUGACGAAGCGUGAGUGACGGUAAUGGGUAAAGAAGCACCGGCUAACUACGUG
This 468-nucleotide ribosomal RNA is filed under the name uncultured bacterium. RNAcentral describes it as "partial 16S ribosomal RNA". It matches the Rfam family "Bacterial small subunit ribosomal RNA", at positions 28 to 507 of the family's 1533-position model. The record is from RNAcentral.